UAGAUGCGAGAGUAGAGCAUAUCAAUAAGCGGAGGAAAAGAAACUAACAAGGAUUCCCUUAGUAACGGCGAGUGAAGCGGGAAGAGCUCAAAUUUGAAAUCUUCAAGGGUUUCCCUUGACGAAUUGUAGUUUAAAGAAGUGUUUUCUGUUAGAGAGGUGGUAAAAGUUCUUUGGAAUAGGACAUCAUAGAGGGUGAGAAUCCCGUAUUUGAUCACUUUCUACUAACGUUGUGAUACACUUUCAAAGAGUCGGAUUGUUUGGGAAUGCAGUCCAAAAUGGGUGGUAAAUUUCAUCUAAAGCUAAAUAUUGGCGAGAGACCGAUAGCGAACAAGUACCGUGAGGGAAAGAUGAAAAGAACUUUGAAAAGAGAGUUAAACAGUACGUGAAAUUGUCAAAAGGGAAGCGUUUGACACCAGUGUUGUUUUUCCGAAAAUCAAUUACGAAUGUUUUAUUUUUGAGGAGUUAUGACUUCAUCGGCUUGCUCCUUUCUUUACUGAAACUUUCUUAAUGCACUUUUCGGUUAACAAGUCAACAUCAAUUUCUUUUGUUGUAAAAGGGUAUGAGGAAGGUGGCUUGCUCUUCGGCGCAAGUGUUUAUAGCCUUGUAUCUCUGCAAUCGGAGAGAUUGAGGUCUGCAGCGUAGAUCCUUCGGGGCUAGAUACAUUUGUGCUAAGUUAUAGCUUUUAUAGACGACAUGUUGACUAUGCUUAAGUCUUGUAGCUUACUCGCAUAUAGCUAUCUUACCUACGCUUAGGAUGUUGACGAGACUGUCGAUCUC
This 777-nucleotide ribosomal RNA is filed under the name uncultured Neocallimastigales. Its description in RNAcentral is "partial large subunit ribosomal RNA". It matches the Rfam family "Eukaryotic large subunit ribosomal RNA", at positions 22 to 647 of the family's 3401-position model. The record is from RNAcentral. Lineage: Eukaryota; Fungi; Neocallimastigomycota; Neocallimastigomycetes; Neocallimastigales.